AACGAACGCUGGCGGCAUGCCUAACACAUGCAAGUCGAACGAGCCCUUCGGGGCUAGUGGCGCACGGGUGCGUAACGCGUGGGAACCUGCCCUUAGGUUCGGAAUAACUCCCCGAAAGGGGUGCUAAUACCGGAUAAUGUCUUCGGACCAAAGAUUUAUCGCCUUUGGAUGGGCCCGCGUUGGAUUAGCUAGUUGGUAGGGUAAAAGCCUACCAAGGCGACGAUCCAUAGCUGGUCUGAGAGGAUGAUCAGCCACACUGGGACUGAGACACGGCCCAGACUCCUACGGGAGGCAGCAGUGGGGAAUAUUGGACAAUGGGCGAAAGCCUGAUCCAGCAAUGCCGCGUGAGUGAUGAAGGCCUUAGGGUUGUAAAGCUCUUUUACCCGGGAUGAUAAUGACAGUACCGGGAGAAUAAGCCCCGGCUAACUCCGUG
RNAcentral lists this ribosomal RNA (433 nucleotides) under uncultured bacterium. RNAcentral's name for it is "partial 16S ribosomal RNA". It matches the Rfam family "Bacterial small subunit ribosomal RNA", at positions 29 to 507 of the family's 1533-position model. The record is from RNAcentral.